AAGAUUUGAAUGAGCUAACAACUUGCUACUCAGCUGACUGGAAAUAUGAAAAAAUGUAAGAAGAAUGGGUAAGUCACAAAGACUUAGUGAGAGAUAACAACCACUACCAACUAGAUGAGAAACACACAAAGGCACGAGCAUUUGAUUUUUAGAAGCUUGUAACAAUUAUUGUAUAGUAGUAACCAUGUAAUAUAAAUAAUAUUUGAUUCAAUUCGUUAUGGUUUAAAAUUUUAAAUAAGAAAAAAAUAUAGAAAUUUAAUCAAAUAAAAUAAUUCGUUACGAAAGAAUCGAGGGACGGCUCCAUCUCGUUGAUAGUCAUUUCCUCCUAAGAGUGACCUUUCACUUAGGGGCGGCUCCAUCUAACGGAUAGCCCUUUUCUCAUCGAUUACAAAAACGCAUUCUCAUCCAAUCAAAUAAAAAGAAUNNNNACCGUGAAUUCAAAAUACAUUCCACUAAAACCAUGUUUUAACAACAGUUCCAAACUUAUGUAAAAUUAAACACAAUAAAACCAUAAUUUUCAAUCCGCUACUUUAUAUAUCAUAAGAAAUCAAACUAGAGUCCAUAUGUAAACAAAUAAGGAUGACGAAAACGGUUUCAAAGGCGAAUAAAAAUAUUUAUAAUCAAUAUUAACAUAGAAAAUUAGUAACAUAUAAUUUAUAACGGUAGUUAAAAUAAGUGAUAAUGAUUGUCAUCAACUCACAACUAUGAAGACCGGCUAAUUUUGCUCUCCAACGACUCCGGGAGAAGCAGAUGAAGCAGCAACGGUUGAAUCUGAACAUCAAUCAUGUUUAUUAAAACUUAGAAAAUCAUUCUAGAGUUUAAACUAAGCAUAUGGAACCAUAAAUUUCCCAAAAAUCUACUCUAAUCUCUAACAUUAAUUUUCUAAACCAAAUUACAUAUACNNNNNNNNNNNNNNNNNNNNNNNNNNNNNNNNNNNNNNNNNNNNNNNNNNNNNNGGUACUCAUCUCCACCCUUAGAUCAUUAACCCUAGCCCCAAAAUUAUACCCAAUCACAUUUGUUAAAGCUUUACUUUGGAAGGAGCAAGUAUCUUCAAGGUUGUCUGGUUUCUAAUUGAAAUUUGGUGAUUUGAAAAAAUUAAAAAAAAUGGAAGAAGGAAAGGUUGGAGAAGUGAGAACAAGGGAGUACUGACAGAGAGAGAGAGAGA
Molecule: long non-coding RNA, 1165 nt
Filed under: Trifolium pratense (red clover)
Lineage: Eukaryota; Viridiplantae; Streptophyta; Magnoliopsida; Fabales; Fabaceae
Description: long non-coding RNA (TPRA_LNC007008)
Source: RNAcentral